CCGUGCGGGUGCUUACACCAUGCCAGUUGAACGAUGAAAGCUGGAGCUUGCUCUAGCUGGAUUAGUGGCGAACGGGUGAGUAACACGUGAGCAAUCUGCCCUGGACUCUGGGAUAACCCCGAGAAAUCGGAGCUAAUACCGGAUACGACACCUCCCGGCAUCGGGUGGGUGUGGAAAGAAUUUCGGUCCAGGAUGAGCUCGCGGCCUAUCAGCUUGUUGGUGAGGUAACGGCUCACCAAGGCGACGACGGGUAGCCGGCCUGAGAGGGUGACCGGCCACACUGGGACUGAGACACGGCCCAGACUCCUACGGGAGGCAGCAGUGGGGAAUAUUGCACAAUGGGCGCAAGCCUGAUGCAGCAACGCCGCGUGGGGGACGACGGCCUUCGGGUUGUAAACCUCUUUUAGUAGGGAAGAAGCGCGAGUGACGGUACCUACAGAAAAAGCACCGGCUAACUACGUGCCAGCAGCCGCGGUAAUACGUAGGGUGCAAGCGUUGUCCGGAAUUAUUUGGGCGUAAAGAGCUCGUAGGCGGUUUGUCGCGUCUGCUGUGAAAAUCCGAGGCUCAACCUCGGACCUGCAGUGGGUACGGGCAAACUAGAGUGCGGUAGGGGAGAUUGGAAUUCCUGGUGUAGCGGUGGAAUGCGCAGAUAUCAGGAGGAACACCAAUGGCGAAGGCAGAUCUCUGGGCCGUAACUGACGCUGAGGAGCGAAAGCGUGG
RNAcentral lists this ribosomal RNA (720 nucleotides) under uncultured Microbacteriaceae bacterium. RNAcentral describes it as "bacterial SSU rRNA". It matches the Rfam family "Bacterial small subunit ribosomal RNA", at positions 36 to 764 of the family's 1533-position model. Lineage: Bacteria; Bacillati; Actinomycetota; Actinomycetes; Micrococcales; Microbacteriaceae. The record is from RNAcentral.